AACCUGGUUGAUCCUGCCAGUAGUCAUACGCUCGUCUAAAAGAUUAAGCCAUGCAUGUCUAAGUAUAAAUGCUUUAUACUGUGAAACUGCGAAUGGCUCAUUAUAUCAGUUAUAGUUUAUUUGAUAGUACCUUACUACUUGGAUAACCGUAGUAAUUCUAGAGCUAAUACAUGCGUAAAGUCCCGAUGGGAUGUAUUUAUUAGAUCGAAACCAAUGCGCUUCGGCGGUAUUUUGGUGAGUCAUAAUAACUGUGCGGAUCGUAUGGCCUUGUGCCGACGAUGAAUCAUUCAAGUUUCUGCCCUAUCAGUUUCGAUGGUAGGAUAUUGGCCUACCAUGGCGUUAACGGGUAACGGAGAAUUAGGGUUCGAUUCCGGAGAGGGAGCCUGAGAAACGGCUACCACAUCUAAGGAAGGCAGCAGGCGCGUAAAUUACCCAAUCCUGACUCAGGGAGGUAGUGACAAGAAAUAACGGACCGAAGCC
Molecule: ribosomal RNA, 480 nt
Filed under: uncultured marine eukaryote
Lineage: Eukaryota
Description: SSU rRNA
Rfam family: Eukaryotic small subunit ribosomal RNA
Source: RNAcentral